GUUCCAGCAGCCGCGGUAAAACGUAGGAGCCAAGCGUUAUCCGAAUUCACUGGGCGUAAAGCGUGUGCAGGCGGACUGGUAAGUUGGAUGUGAAAUCUCCCGGCUCAACUGGGAGAGGCCGUUCAAUACUGUCAGACUAGAGGGCAACAGAGGGAGGUGGAAUUCCCGGUGUAGUGGUGAAAUGCGUAGAUAUCGGGAGGAACACCAGUGGCGAAGGCGGCCUCCUGGGUUGUACCUGACGCUCAGACACGACAGCUAGGGGAGCGAACGGGAUUAGAAACCCCCGUAGUCC
Molecule: ribosomal RNA, 292 nt
Filed under: uncultured bacterium
Lineage: Bacteria
Description: partial 16S ribosomal RNA
Rfam family: Bacterial small subunit ribosomal RNA
Source: RNAcentral